AUGUCCUGUAGUCAACUCAUAUGGGAGGACACUGACAAGAGUCUUACAGUUAAGGCAGGCUCAGUUCUGGGCCCUGCUCACUGUCUGUCAGCAGAGCUGUCCACGAUCCAGGUACUGAGGUCCAAGAUUUGUGUGUGUGCUCGCGCUGCCCAAAUAAUGACACGGAGUUGGAUAAGCAGUCCCCAGGAUCAGCCCACCAGAGUCAGGUCACCUAAAUCUCUUGACUCCAGCCUACUUAGCAGCAGAUAUUCCAAAACCAGAUUUGGGGUUAAGAGAACAAGAGAGACGACAAAUGGAAUCUCUCUUCUUACUGGGUGGUCAGUUCCUGCCUCCUGAGCAGAGCAGAAGUUAUUCUUCAGUGUCUAAAGGAAAGAGAGAAUCAUAAGAUAAUAAAAUGUCAAUCUGGAAAGGACCUCA
RNAcentral lists this long non-coding RNA (417 nucleotides) under Monodelphis domestica (gray short-tailed opossum). RNAcentral's name for it is "lncRNA (ENSMODG00000030523.2)". The record is from RNAcentral. Lineage: Eukaryota; Metazoa; Chordata; Mammalia; Didelphimorphia; Didelphidae.